Molecule: long non-coding RNA, 401 nt
Filed under: Ananas comosus (pineapple)
Lineage: Eukaryota; Viridiplantae; Streptophyta; Magnoliopsida; Poales; Bromeliaceae
Description: long non-coding RNA (ACOM_LNC032559)
Source: RNAcentral
ACUUCACUCAAAAAAAAAAAAAAAAAAAAACUUCAAAUACCACCCCUGUGGUUUCAUACUUUCUCACUUUAGUACCCUAUAGUUUAAAGAGUAUUAUUUUCGAGCCUUAUGAUUUUAUUUUUUUCUUUUUGUUAUUUACUCCACUAAUUUUUUUCGUUAAAUCAGUGACAAAGUUAAAACUAAAGAGUACUAGAGUAAAUAUUCGAUAAAUUAUAAAUGGAGUAUUUGAAGUUCUUUAUAUAUGAUUUAACGAAAAGUUAACAGAGGGUUUAACGAAAAAAAAAAUAAAAAUAUGAUACUAAAUUGAUAUACUUUAAACUUCAGGGUAUUAAAAUGAAAAAAUACGAGAGAUGUGAUAUUUAAAAUUUACCCUAAAAAAAUAUUUAGAGGAAUAUUUCAAC